CGGACUGCAGCCUGCAACCCGGCUGCACGAAGCCGGAAUCGCUAGUAAUCGCGGAUCAGAAUGCCGCGGUGAAUACGUUCCCGGGUCUUGUACACACCGCCCGUCACACCAUGGGAGCCGGGAAUGCCCGAAGUCAGUGGCCCAACCGCAAGGAGGGAGCUGCCGAAGGCAGGCCCGGUGACUGGGGUGAAGUCGUAACAAGGUACC
Molecule: ribosomal RNA, 207 nt
Filed under: uncultured bacterium
Lineage: Bacteria
Description: partial 16S ribosomal RNA
Rfam family: Bacterial small subunit ribosomal RNA
Source: RNAcentral